Molecule: ribosomal RNA, 567 nt
Filed under: Bacillus velezensis
Lineage: Bacteria; Bacillati; Bacillota; Bacilli; Caryophanales; Bacillaceae
Description: bacterial SSU rRNA
Rfam family: Bacterial small subunit ribosomal RNA
Source: RNAcentral
AGGAUUGCGGCUUGCCUAUACAUGCAGUCGAGCGGACAGAUGGGAGCUUGCUCCCUGAUGUUAGCGGCGGACGGGUGAGUAACACGUGGGUAACCUGCCUGUAAGACUGGGAUAACUCCGGGAAACCGGGGCUAAUACCGGAUGGUUGUUUGAACCGCAUGGUUCAGACAUAAAAGGUGGCUUCGGCUACCACUUACAGAUGGACCCGCGGCGCAUUAGCUAGUUGGUGAGGUAACGGCUCACCAAGGCGACGAUGCGUAGCCGACCUGAGAGGGUGAUCGGCCACACUGGGACUGAGACACGGCCCAGACUCCUACGGGAGGCAGCAGUAGGGAAUCUUCCGCAAUGGACGAAAGUCUGACGGAGCAACGCCGCGUGAGUGAUGAAGGUUUUCGGAUCGUAAAGCUCUGUUGUUAGGGAAGAACAAGUGCCGUUCAAAUAGGGCGGCACCUUGACGGUACCUAACCAGAAAGCCACGGCUAACUACGUGCCAGCAGCCGCGGUAAUACGUAGGUGGCAAGCGUUGUCCGGAAUUAUUGGGCGUAAAGGGCUCGCAGGCGGUUUCUU